Canis lupus familiaris (dog) is the source of this 4271-nucleotide long non-coding RNA. RefSeq lists it as uncharacterized. NCBI's taxonomy places the organism in Eukaryota, Metazoa, Chordata, Mammalia, Carnivora, Canidae. The record is from RefSeq and is a predicted model, not a curated record. The transcript is spliced from 5 exons.
UGGGGUGCCAGGUCAGCUGCAGGAGCACACCCAAGUUUGCAGAAUGAGGCGGCCUGGCGUCCCUGGACCUUCCCUUCCAACCCUGUUUCCCAGGGUCAAACCUUGUUCUCUAAGUGUCCCUUGUUCCAUUCCCCCAUCGCCAUGACCACGUGGGAGGAACUCUGGCGUCAGAGAACCCGGAGCUAGAAUCCCAGCUCCGCUAUUUCCAGCUGCGUGACUUUGGGCAAAUGACUUCGCCCCUCUGAGCCUCAACUUCCUCACCUGCCAGGCAGCGACGGUACUAGAAUUUGCCUCCUGGGGUUGCUGGGAGGAUUUACAGAGCCCACAAGCAGUGCUCCCGCAGCCACCGAGUCCUCCCAUCUCCCCUGCCACUUCCCCUCCGUGGCCGCUGAUCCCGACAGUCCCACAGCUGCCCCUCCUCCGGCCCCAAGUACUGCAAGUUCUGGAGUAGAUGACUUUCAAAUCUGGGAAGGAGAGCCCAUCACACACACCUUGAGCUGGAAACUGGCCACCAGCGGGCAGAACCGGCCUGGACGACUGACCUUGAGGGGCUCCCUGGGGAGGGGGCUGCGAAGCCCUCCUCGGCCUGACCCCUGCCCCGAGUCCCGAAGAGAGGACGGCGAUCUGCAUGCCACUCAGGAGGAGAGCUGGUGACCAAGUUACUUAACCAAGUUACUUAACCUCACUGGGCCUCAGGGUCCUCCCUUGUUUCAAAACGCCUGGCUUUCCUUUGGCAGGGGUUUCUCACAUGUCUUUGUUUUGGUAGAAAAUCCUUUCAUCAGGGAAAAUCUUGCACAGAUCCCCAGUAUAUAAAACAGUCCAGAACAGAGCUAGCUGUCCUGGCUGAGGUCGGUGAUGGGAGGAGGGGACAGCGUCCAGCACAUUCUGCACCCACAGAGGGGCCCCAGGGGACGGGCUGGGGGCUUGAAGCCUCAGGGAACUUAGAAGUCCCCAUUGACUCUUUCAGUUUUAAGAUUCUAGGACUGUCUACGAGCGCACAUCCAAGGAUGUACGAGGCCUGACGUUAUGCCAUCCAGGUCAUCCUCGGACCAGGAAACGCUGACCAGACAGGUGAAGUUCUUGAGAUUCAGAGGAUUAACGUCUUCAUCCGGAUCUGAUCUUUUUGAAAGGGGUAGAGGUUGGAGUGCCUAAGACCACGCCUCUCCAGCUGUGCGACUAUGGGCAAGUUAACUACCCUCUCUGGGGUUUCCUGGGCUGUAAAAGGGGGAAGGAUAAUACUUAUCUCAUAGGGCUGAUGUGAAUGCAAAAGCUGGCAAUGCAUCUCUUCAGUUCAGCACAGUGUCCAGCACAUAGUAAGUGCUUAAUAAAUAUUAGCUGUUGCUAUAGAUUCUUUUGGAGAAGGAAGGACACUUGGCACUCGGGACAUUUAUGCUGCUUAAUCCUCAUAGGAGCCCCACUGAUGAGUAAACUGAUGUGAGAGGCUAAUUUGUCCCGAGUCAUGCGGCUGGUAAGUGGUUGAACUAAAAUCUAAACCCGCAGCUUUUAAUGCCAAGGCCUGUGUUCUUUUUUCCUGCUCCUCCCUACAAACACUGCUUCUAGAAGGCCCCACCAGGAAAGCCCCAGUCUGUGCCAGGCAUAGUUUCCCAAUGUCGGAGGGUUUUCCGGCAUCUGGUCAGUGACUCAGAGUGUAACAUCAAAGCAGAUACUUCUGGUCAGGGCAAGACUGGAGUUACCAACUACCAAUUUAGUUAAGUACAAAACCCACCCGACAAUGUGGAAAGCAUAAAAAAAAUUAUCUUGUGUUCUACUGAAAAUGGGUCAGAAAUCAGAAAUCAUGUUCACAAGAAAAGAUGGCAAAUUUGUCCUAUGGGGGUAGGAGCCCCCUAAUCCGAAAACAAGAGGGUCAGGUUUUCCCAAAGAUUAGCUUUGGGAACUCCUGCAUGGGAUAGAGAAGAAGCUAACUUUUAAAAAGUUCUGUGGUCCAGAUAAUUCUGGAAACACUGAGAAGGUAUCUAUCUUCACCACGAGACUUGUCAGAGCCUUUAAUGUGCUAAUGUGCAUUGCGACCCACCAGGAUGACCACCCUGUGAAUACAGUGUCUCUCCAACUUAUUUGGCCACAGAACCCUUUCGCCCAGAGCUCUUGAGAGGGGGUGUGGGGAACCCACCGAAAAAAGUGAUGGCGAAAAACCAGCUGCUCCCACAGUUACCCUCCAGUGGGGUCUCUGAGCACACAAGUUAGAUGUGUCCAGAGUCAGAGAUGGAAAAUGGAAGAGUGCUGAAAAUCCCAUCAGGCUUGAACUUCAUCUCCCCUGGGGAUCGGAGGGUUGAGGAUGGAGAGGAACGUGGCCAGCAUCACAUGCAGGUUAGAGGCAGAGCUGGGUCUACUGGGUCAUCCUCAAGCUGGUUCAACUCUGGGUGCCCGACUGGAUCAUAAUCAGAUGUGGGUUCUGGGCCAGCGGUGGCUCCCCUGGCAGCUUUGGGGACCAUGUUUUAUAAAAAAGAAACGUUUCUCACUGUGGACAAUUUCAAACAUAAGUAAACGUAGAGACAGGAGCACAGUGAAGCCCUAUAUACCCAUCACCUCGAGUCAACCAUCAUCGACAUUUUGUCGAUCAUUUUAAAAACUGUCCUCCCCCCUGCAGCAUCUUCCAGAGUCAUUACAGCAAAUCUCAGUUCAUCCUUAAAUGCUGUAUACAUCUCUGAAAAGGACUUGGAAGUGCACUGAGCCUGCCUUUGUCGCACUAAGCAAAAUAAAUGAUUCCUGAUGUCACUUGAGACGUAGCCCCUCUUCCAGCAGGGACCCUGCUUUUGAAGCCACAUUAAGAUUAGAGGCUUUAACUCUUUCUACUCAGUCGUCAGGGAGCAAGCCUCUGAGAUCAUCGAAAAUGAAAGAAAAGGUGCUGCCCACAUGGUAAAGUUUCAUUUCCCAACCAAGAACAAGAAGAAGAGCAAAAAAAGAUCAGAAGCAAACAGGGCAAGACGACAACCAGCGUCGCCUGGGUGGUGAACCCAUGGGGGUGUGUUGUAUCAGGUUCUGUGCUUCUCUAAAUAUGUGCUAUUGCACAUUUGCCAGUGAGCCUGGCCCUGCUGCCCUGACGAAGACUGGGGUCCUGGAUAGGGUUUGGGUGGGGGAGAGGCAAGGGGUGGCCAUUUCAUCCUGGCAGCCCGGCCUCCAGAAAGCCCUCAUCCUCCCAGCUCAAAUGUCAGUCCUAGAUGUCACAUUGUGUCCCCAGGUCCUGGCCCAGCGCCCCACACUGAGAGUGGGUGUUCAGAAUGCUUGAUGAGUGAGCCCGGCCAGACAGGGAGGGGUGUCCCGAGAUGUUCCUUGGCUCACACAGGCAGGAACUUCUGCUGAGCAAGCGGGAAGUGGGAGAAAGAAAGACGUCCUUGCCUUUUUGGCCAAGGAGGAGGGUCAGCAACCAAAGUCUCCGGAAAGACUCUGACCACACUUCUGAAAAGGAGAGCCACAGGCCUGAGACUCAGCGCCCCUGGAAAAGAGGAAGUUCUUUGUCUGUGGGGGAGGCUCCUGGCACUGCCCCGACACCAAACGGAGCCUCAGAGCCCGAACGCCACCUCCGUCAAAGCCAGAAAGGACGGCAGUCUUUGCUCUUCAGCCCCCCAACCUCUGCCCAGAUGUCCAGCCCAGCCUGCAGCUCCCCCCAUGGAAGAUGACGUGCGGCUUUAAUUAUCAAGUGCCCGGAACUCUGGAAUUAGAAAACUAGAAUAUGAAGAUGGUUGACAGCUGAGACAGAAGCUAGAAGGACAAUCCAGGGGCAGCCGUGAUGGAGAGGGGGCAGUAUGGCCGUCACGGAUGAACCAGAGCCUGUCUCCCCAAGAUCACCAGGUAGGGAGGCUGGAUGAAGACCUUGCUAAGCAUCUGCUGAGUCAUGAACAGGCAACUCUUCUGUCCCUUUGGACCUCUAGAGAACCAACUGCACCCCAGGACCUCAAGCCCUCACUUGCAAAAUGCUCCCUUAAGUCUCAACUUAAUUGCUCUCUUGGAUACCAAAGACUCCCACCAUCAUUAUGAAGAAAAAUCGGUCAUUGGCUCCUUUAAAAUAACCCUUGCUACACCAGCUGCUGCUGUGAAGUGCCCUUCAGCCUCUGCUAGCACUGAUUCAAAAGCACCUCACUGAUGUGGUCCUUCAGGGUGGGGGUCCUCCUGCACCGGCAGCUGAGGCGGGUGGUGGGGGCAGUGGGCUGGAAAGCCUGAUUCCACCUCACUUCCCCCCAUAAGAGCAAUGCCUUCUGGGGGGCUGGGAUGGAACACCGCGCGGCAGAAGGAGAUUGUGGGAACAAUAAAUUCAU